This 801-nucleotide ribosomal RNA is filed under the name uncultured bacterium. RNAcentral describes it as "bacterial SSU rRNA". It matches the Rfam family "Bacterial small subunit ribosomal RNA", at positions 8 to 796 of the family's 1533-position model. The record is from RNAcentral.
AGAGUUUGAUCCUGGCUCAGGACGAACGCUGACGGUGUGCUUUAGACAUGCAAGUCGAACGAGAAAGCCCUUCGGGGUGAGUACAGUGGCGAACGGGUGAGUAACACGUGGGCAAUCUGCCCCUCGCAGGGGGACAACCGGGGGAAACCCCGGCUAAUACCCCGUACGCUUACGGAGCCGCAUGGCUCCAUAAGGAGAGGUAGCUUCGGCCAUCCGGCGAGGGAUGAGCCCGCGGUACAUUAGCUAGUUGGUGAGGUAACGGCUCACCAAGGCGACGAUGUAUAGCUGGUCUGAGAGGAUGAUCAGCCACACUGGGACUGAGACACGGCCCAGACUCCUACGGGAGGCAGCAGUCGGGAAUCUUGCGCAAUGGGCGAAAGCCUGACGCAGCAACACCGUGUGAGCGACGAAGGCCUUCGGGUCGUAAAGCUCUGUUGUUGGGGACGAAGGGUUAGGGGUUAAUAGCCCCGAGCCUGACGGUACCCUUCGAGGAAGCCCCGGCUAACUACGUGCCAGCAGCCGCGGUAAUACGUAGGGGGCGAGCGUUGUCCGGAAUUAUUGGGCGUAAAGAGCGUGUAGGCGGUUCGGUAAGUCUGCCGUGAAAACCCAGGGCUCAACCCUGGGCGUGCGGUGGAUACUGCCGGGCUAGAGGGUGGUAGAGGCGAGUGGAAUUCCCGGUGUAGCGGUGAAAUGCGCAGAUAUCGGGAGGAACACCAGUAGCGAAGGCGGCUCGCUGGGCCACACCUGACGCUGAGACGCGAAAGCGUGGGGAGCAAACAGGAUUAGAUACCCUAGUAGUCC